UUUGGAAAAAAAGAAAAAGAAAAAAGAGCCCCAAACCAAGCCACAAACUGUGAAAUCUUUUAAAAUAAUAAUAAAGCAAUUGUGUUCUUGAAAAGGGCUCCAAGACCAAUGGGAGUCUCCAAAGGAAGAGAAGAGAGCAGCUUCGUCUGUUUCCUCUUGCACAAGGCUGCUGCACUGGGCCCAGCACCUCUGGAGCAAUGAGACUUCUUCAAGAAGAUGAAUGCAAAGAAAGAUCACAAGAAGCACUUCUCUUUCUCCCAUGGGAUGGCAGCUCUGGGAAUGGCAUGCGGUCAGCAGUCACAGUAUCACACCCCUGUUAGCAAAUGAAAGGGGAGAGAGAGCUGAAGCUCUCUGGUGCUGUGGAACCAAGUGCGUCUCAGAAAUGGAUGGACUUCUUCAAAAGCUAAAGACUUUUUUAAAAAAUAAAAAAAGCAAAACGAAACAAAACA
Long non-coding RNA from Pezoporus occidentalis (night parrot), 449 nucleotides. RefSeq lists it as uncharacterized. The record is from RefSeq and is a predicted model, not a curated record. The transcript is spliced from 2 exons. NCBI's taxonomy places the organism in Eukaryota, Metazoa, Chordata, Aves, Psittaciformes, Psittacidae.